RNAcentral lists this ribosomal RNA (377 nucleotides) under uncultured Lactobacillus sp. RNAcentral's name for it is "bacterial SSU rRNA". It matches the Rfam family "Bacterial small subunit ribosomal RNA", at positions 153 to 525 of the family's 1533-position model. The record is from RNAcentral. Lineage: Bacteria; Bacillati; Bacillota; Bacilli; Lactobacillales; Lactobacillaceae.
UAAAGAAAGCAGAUCGCAUGAUCAGUUACUUUUAAAAGGGCGGACGUAAGCUGUCGCUAGUGGGGAUCGGCCCCGCGGUGCAUUAGCUAGUUGGUAAAGGUAAAAGGGCUUACCAAGGCGAUGAUGCAUAGCCGAGUUGAGAGACUGAUCGGCCACAUUGGGACUGAGACACGGCCCAAACUCCUACGGGAGGCAGCAGUAGGGAAUCUUCCACAAUGGACGCAAGUCUGAUGGAGCAACGCCGCGUGAGUGAAGAAGGUUUUCGGAUCGUAAAGCUCUGUUGUUGGUGAAGAAGGAUAGAGGUAGUAACUGGCCUUUAUUUGACGGUAAUCAACCAGAAAGUCACGGCUAACUACGUGCCAGCAGCCGCGGUAAAU